AAUGAAGUUUUGAUGGGCUUGAAAUGGUCUCAGGAAAUGGCCAGGCCCAUCCUUGCCCCAGGAAAGAACUUCAUAUACUCAGACAACUUGUGCCACUCCAGUCACACAGCUAUUGCUUCCUAUGGGGGAGUGAGGGAUCAGGGUGUGAAGCCUGACUGAAUAUAGAGCUGAAAUGCCCUGAAUUUACUGUAGGGCCAUCUCGGCCUACUGAGAGAUUGGCCUUGGAUGGCCAACAGGGAAACAAAUACUGGCCUUGCUCAGCUCAGCCCCCAAAUGGCUAACUCAGAGCACCUGCCCAUAGAAACCCAGGAGAUUUAUUCCUGCCCCAAAACGGAGAAGAACCCCAUCUCCAUCCCCAACGCCUUAGUGUAUUACAGCACCAUUGCUAGCAAACUCCUGGCUUUAAAAGAGAAGGGCAUUCCCAGGGAAAUACCCUGCCAGUCAGCUUAACCAAUACAGGGUUUACAGUUUCCCAGUCUUACUCAGUGAUGUCACAUCACCUCAGUUGUGAUACGUUUGGCGCCAUGACCUCCAGCCAAGGAUCUCAGAACACUUCAUCAUGCAUUCUAUUAUUCUCAUUCUUUGCAUUACCAUAGUGCCUAGAUGUCCUAGUCAUGGGCCAGGCGCACACUGAGUUAAAUAAUUAAAACCCACACAGUCCUUUGCCAUGUAGGUGAGUGUCAUUUUCUCUAUUUUAGAAAAGAUACAGCUGAGACACCAUAUGUGGAAGCAACUUGCCCAAAGCAACGCAGCUGAGUGAGGAAAGAACCAAGAAUUGAACCCAGGAGUCCUGCUCUGACUAAGACAACCCUGACACCGAAGGUGCUGCAGCAUCUUGCUACAUGCACGAGAGACAUGGACAUUAAGGAAACAGGAUAUUCAGCGGCUUCUGCCUUUGAAGUGAAAUGUUACAGGUGGUUGCAACACAUGAGCUAUAUCUACCACACAACUAACGAGGACGUGAUCAGCCUGAUUUACCACCUAACCAGAGUGAUACCCGAUAGCGUCAAGAUGAUCAGACUAAGAAAACUUGAGUUUGUGCAAAAUUUACAAGACCCUGCAGAAGACUGGAGCACCUUCAGUAUCCAAAUGGGAGAGAGCCUGCUCAUCUGAACCUCAUGCAGCUACAAUUGACUGUACAAGGGAUGGUUUUCUUUAUUCAACUAAAGUUUCCUGGGAAGUGGCAAUAAUCCAAGCUCCUACUGUAGAUCAGGGUGGGGUGGAUUUUCAAAGGCACAAACUGGAGUAGGAUGCCUAAUUGCCCUUUGUGCCUGAGGAAAACAUGUAGCUGUUAUGGGCUGCUCCAGGAGCACUAGCUUUUAUUUUUUGUAAUUUCAAAACAUUUACCUUGGUCUGUGUGGUGGUGUGUGCACACCCCAUCUCCUGGCAGGGGGGAUAGUGGGUGUGCAUACACCACAGUUACAGUCUACCAGGCUGUCUUGGGCAUCACCACAAUGAGGGCCAAUGGCUAGAGUCCCUACCACAGCCCUCAGGUGCAGAGCAGCAUGGCCUAGCAGCUAGAUCCAGGGGCCAAUACCAGAUGAGGUGGCAGCCAGGGUAGGGGGACCCAGGCCCACCUGACUCCACUGGGUCCCAACCCAGUGCCCUAACAAUGGCCAUGUGUCCACCACUGGGUCAGUAGGGAAUCCAA
RNAcentral lists this long non-coding RNA (1651 nucleotides) under Chrysemys picta bellii (western painted turtle). RNAcentral describes it as "lncRNA (ENSCPBG00000020266.1)". The record is from RNAcentral. Lineage: Eukaryota; Metazoa; Chordata; Testudines; Emydidae.